Molecule: ribosomal RNA, 255 nt
Filed under: uncultured bacterium
Lineage: Bacteria
Description: partial 16S ribosomal RNA
Rfam family: Bacterial small subunit ribosomal RNA
Source: RNAcentral
UACAGAGGGUGCGAGCGUUGUCCGGAAUCACUGGGCGUAAAGGGUGCGUAGGCGGGUCUUUUAAGUCAGGGGUGAAAUCCUGGAGCUCAACUCCAGAACUGCCUUUGAUACUGAAGAUCUUGAGUUCGGGAGAGGUGAGUGGAACUGCGAGUGUAGAGGUGAAAUUCGUAGAUAUUCGCAAGAACACCAGUGGCGAAGGCGGCUCACUGGCCCGAUACUGACGCUGAGGCACGAAAGCGUGGGGAGCAAACAGGG